This 254-nucleotide ribosomal RNA is filed under the name uncultured bacterium. Its description in RNAcentral is "partial 16S ribosomal RNA". It matches the Rfam family "Bacterial small subunit ribosomal RNA", at positions 107 to 354 of the family's 1533-position model. The record is from RNAcentral.
UGAGUAACACGUGAGUGACCUGCCUUUUAGACUGGAACAACUUACCGAAAGGUGAGCUAAUGCCGGAUGAGUUAUAUAAGUGCAUGUUUAUAUAGGAAAAGUUGGGGAGACCUGACGCUGAAAGAUGGACUCGCGCCCCAUUAGCUAGUUGGUAGGGUAAUGGCCUACCAAGGCGACGAUGGGUAGCCGGCCUGAGAGGGUGGCCGGCCACACUGGGACUGAGACACGGCCCAGACUCCUACGGAAGGCAGCAG